Molecule: long non-coding RNA, 867 nt
Organism: Priapulus caudatus
Lineage: Eukaryota; Metazoa; Priapulida; Priapulimorpha; Priapulimorphida; Priapulidae
Exons: 4
Source: RefSeq, a predicted model, not a curated record
CAGAAAUGCGGGUCUCGUGGUUUUCUGGAAGCACGUGGAAGCCGUGGAUGCUAGCAGUUUGCGAAAAGGAACGGAAGGUUUUGUGCAUGGGAGGUGGACAGGUUAUCCCGCAUCUUGAAAAGUGGGUUGCCAUUUAUGACAAGCAAGUCCUACCCCUUUUCAUCUUCGAAACCGUUAGAUUUCUAAACGGAAUCCCGAGGCCUUCACCAAAAUGGUAAAAAACUGUGAGCGUGGUAGAAGAAUGUUCCGUGGCAACUCUAGAGAAGAUAGCGCUGGAGAAGGAGGUAACGCGGAGGAACGCCACGUGCGAGGAUUCAUCGAAUCACAGGCGACCGGGGUCGCCCACUAUAAUGCCGAUGAUGUUCAGCUGGGAUGAUUACUAUUGAUUAGAUGAAGCCAGCGAUAUACGAUGAAGGACAGACCUCGGACUCAACAUGAGACCUUAGAAUGAACUACAAAUACUGAAAAUGUUUAACGAUAGUAACGAAUGUGAUAUUGACGAAUGCUCGAAGAUAAUUAGCAGAUCAUGAUAAUAUUUAAUAAAUUAUUUAUGUGAAAGAUGUUCGAAUUCAGUAGAUCAGAGCGAAACUUUCUUAUACGUUAUUACUGAUGGUGAGGUAAAAGCAGCCGUACAAACAUCAUGUGUACACAACAUGAAUCCUAGCGAGUACUUCAGUCCAUGAACAACGUUGGGGAAUUGGUCAAUUGAGGCGUGUGAUGUUAUCUAAGAGAUGUAGAUCUAGUAUACUACAUUUUUAAACGAUCAUGUGUCUUUGUUAUUGCUAUUAUUAUUAUUAUUGUUAUUAUUUAAAAAACUUAUAAUUGGAAUUGUCUGGGACGUCUUCACGGGCGCCAUCUUAAAUUAAU